UGGGGUGUUACAGUAACGGUCCCGGAAAUUCAAAAAAAAAUACAUAUAAUAAUCUGAGUGCGGAAGCGAAAUAAAAGAUUAAAGUUAACAUCCCUUACAUAAUAACUUAAAAGUACUAAACAAUAUCACAGAAUAAGUUCUCUAAAGAAAAUACGAGAAAUAAAAAAAUUAAAAGAAACUCGAAAGUAUCUAGUAUCUACUCGUUGUUUUCUUGUGGAUCGGGCUCGAGAACCAGGUCCUCAUGAUCUGAAAUGGUUAAAUAAGAAAUGAGCUACACUAGCCCAAUAAGGACAUCACAUUAUAUCACCGUCACAUAAGCAAAUGUUGGUAGAAAACCAAAAACAACCAAUGGAGCACAAAUUUUAAACAAAUUCAUUUAUCAAUAAUCAAAUCAUUUACCGUCCACUUACUGCAGUAAGAUUUAUAAAAACAACCUAUGGAAACAAUAACAUUAUAAAUAUCAUGAAUUGAUAUAUAAUCUGUAACAUAGCACAUAUCAUACUUUUAUAUUCAAAUCAUCAAACAACAAUUGCCCUUUUUUUUUAUAUCAACCUUCUAGUAUCCAUGGGGAUCCAUAGGGGUCCUUACUACAAGUGAACUAUUCCCUUUAAAUAAUUUUAAUUCCAUAGCGAUUCCCAUACCCUGUCCGGUGUGAGUGCCAAAAUAAUAAACCUCAAUACCCCGUCUGGUAUGAGGGUGAAGUGGGCCAUCCUCAUACCCCGUCUGGUAUGAGCGCCAAAUGACCAAGUUUCCAUACCCCGUCCGGUAUGAGACAACGUUCACGGUAGGGUUCCCUAUGAAUCUGGUCCAUCCACCAUCUCCUAAGAUAUCUAGUGAGGCUGUCAUCUUAUCCAUUUAUCAAAUCACAUUCCAUUCCUAUUUCUCCUUAGUCUUCGUUACCAACUCAAACAUAAAUAUAUAAACAAGUAACUUGAUUUGACGCUGAAAACUAGAUUAUCACUGCGCCUACGGGCGGAUCCUGGGUUCCCUGAAUUUUUUUCUUGGGAAUUGAAACGCGCUUAUGGUAUCUACACAUAUCCCAAAUAACCUAAAAAUAAGACCCAGGGUCUACUCGGUCAAUUUUAGAAUCCCGCUGUGCUCUAGCAGCGAUCCACAUCAGGUUGGCUGUUUUUGGCUCUUUCUAGCCGAAUUCAGCCAAACUUGCAUCGGUUCCUGUGAGAAAACACACUUAGGGCCUUCGGUGGGCCGAAAAAAUGUGAAAAACUGAAACUCACUGGCGGUGGGACUCUCCAGUGCGGCGGCUCCUUCGGCUUACGUCGUGAUUGGGUAUUUUGCUCCGGUCAACCUGUAGAGGAAGAAACGGUGAUCACAACGGUGGUAAAAUUACAUUGAACGGGAAUCGGGAAGGGUCUCAUCGGAGGUAAAAAUCGAGACACCCUACGACAGCGUCGCUGAGCUUCAACGACAUUUUCCGACCAAUUGGCCAGUGCUUUCGCUCCAAUUUGACCAUAGGUGGGUUUAGAAUCAAAUUCUGAGCAAAAGGUAGAAUUUUUACCUCGUUUGGCGGCCGAAAAUUGCUCCGGUACGGCGGCAGGUGGCGGCGGUUGGCUCCCCAGCGGCUGGGCUGUCUUCUCCGGCGAGGGGCUCUGGCGGCUAGGGUUAAGAUUUGGAUUUGGGCAGUUGAGGUUAUUUAUACACAUCCGCUUUUGAUCUGAGUCGUCCAUCGCUUUUAAUCUGGACCGUCCGAUCGCGAUUAAAUAGGGAAUGAAUUUGGGCCGCUCAUCGCGAUUCAAUCUGAGCCGUCCGUGCGCGAUUCAAUCUGGGCCGUCUGUGCGCACGGGAACGGAUCUCAUCCAUUCGAUCGCACGCAUGCGGAUCGCCUACAUGGCUCCCUCCCGUGUGGUCUCCCGCGUCAACAUUUCUGCCACCUGGCGCAUCCUGGUUUGUCGGGGCUGCUGACCGGGCAGCUGACGUGACACAACAUUUCUAAAUUACGUUUUGACCCAAAUUUCUGAUUUUUCUUUCAAAAAUACUCAUAGAACCCAAAUUUUCACCCAUUUUUUCAAAAUUAUUUUCAAUUAAAUCCCUAAAUAAUUUUUACCCAUUAUUAUUAUUAUUAUUAUUUUCAUUAAAUUAAAUUAAAUUCUAUUAAUACUUAAUUAUAUUUAUAUAGAAUAAAUUAAAUUAAAAUAAUAAUAAUAAAAUAAAAAAGAAAUAGUUGGGUGUUACACACAUGAAAAAUAUACAUAAGCAAUGUAUAUAUAUAUAUUUACAUAUAUAGUUUUUGUUUCCUUCCUACAUUUAUAUCAAAUUCAUUCAAAUAAAUAUAUUUUUACAUAUUCAUUAUAAUUUAUAUAUGUAUAUCUCAUAUGCAUAAUAUGCAUUCCUAUACAUACACUAUAUAUAUAUAUAUAUACAUAUAAAUAUAUAUAACUUAAUUUUUAUCACCCUCUCAUUAUACCAAGCUACUCUCACCAUCUCUCUAUUUAAGUUCAAAUUUUUCAUUUAAAAUCAAAAAAACUUAAAAUGUAUUUAUUUUAAACAUCAUGCAAAACUAUUUAGAAAGAGAAUAAUGAAAGAAAAAAAAAAGAACUCACAUUUGGAUAAUUUGAAAGAAGAACCUACGUGAGAGGGGCGGUCACACAGUAGUUACGCUUCCCGCGGUGUCCCAGCUCAACCUUCUUCUUCCCUCCGCCACGCCGAUUGUGCCAAUGCUUCUUCACUCUCUUCUUCCCGUCACUUCUCUCCCUCUCCUCCUCAUUCUUCUUUUCUUAUCUUUUUUUUUUUAUUUGGUAGAUUGAAAGAGAGGAAAAAAUGUUUUGUUUGGUAUUUAUAUGAUGGGAGAAGGGAUAAGGAUGAUGAGGUGACAACCCAGGAGAGGGACGAAAUCUUCCCAUCCAUGCGAAUGGUGGCCACCGCUAUACCAUUUCCAAAUCUUUCCAUGUUUC
This 2909-nucleotide long non-coding RNA is filed under the name Carica papaya (papaya). RNAcentral's name for it is "long non-coding RNA (CPAP_LNC004665)". Lineage: Eukaryota; Viridiplantae; Streptophyta; Magnoliopsida; Brassicales; Caricaceae. The record is from RNAcentral.